This 230-nucleotide unclassified non-coding RNA is filed under the name fungal sp. RNAcentral describes it as "partial internal transcribed spacer region". The record is from RNAcentral. Lineage: Eukaryota; Fungi.
GUGUAUAAGAGACAGCUUGGUCCGGAGGUAUGGCCCACACCUACCGGAGACCGGAAGUGCGAUGAGAAAUCAGCAGAUCUGGAAGAUCUUACGUAUUCAUCUGUCAGAUGGAGUAAUCAUCAAGAUUGUGGCAUCUGCGUUCAGCUGUGUGAAUGCCGGCGUUGGAACCUAGCUCACAACUCGCCAGACCACGACGUCCCUGACCUCGUGCUGCUGACGUGGCUCGGGAG